GGUUUGAUCCGUGAAGGCUCAAGAUGACGCUGGCGGAUGUGUACACGCUGCAAGUCGAACGCUGGGACCGGUCUGGUGGCAGUGGCGAACGGGUGAGUAAUGUAUCGGAACGUGCUAAUGGCGGGGGAUAACUACGCAGCGUAUAGCUAAUACCGCACCGCCCUUCGGGAAAGCGAGAGGACCUUCGGGCCUCGCACUAUUAGUGGCUCCGAUAUGGUUAUAGCUAGUUGGUGGGAGUGCAACGGCUCACCAAGGCGACGAUCCAUGGCUUCUGUUUCGGAAGGACAGCAACCACACUGGGACUGAGACACGGCGGGCUCCUGGGAGGCAGCAGUGGGGAAUUUUUGGACAGUGAAACUGAUCCAGCAUCCGGCAAGCUGCGAUGAAGGCCUUCGGGUUAUCAACACUUUUGGCAGAAGAAACUGGCACGGGAUAAUACCCGUGCAACUGACGGCCAGAAUAAGCACAACUGCUACGUGCCAGCAACCGCGGCAUACGUAGGGUACAAGCGUUAAUCGGAAUUACUGGGCGUAAAGCGUGCGCGGGCGGUUCGGAAGAAAAGAUGUGAAAUCCCGAGCUUAACUUUGGAACUGCAUUUUUGUUUACACCGAGCUAGAAAGUGUGUCAGAGGAGGUGGAAUUCCGCGUGUAGCAGUGAAAUGCGUAGAUAUGCGGAGGAACACCGAUGGCGAAGGCGGCCUCACUGGGAUAACACUGACGCUCAUGCACGAAAGCGUGGGAGCAAACGGGAUUAGAUACCCUGGUAGUCCACGCCCUAACGAUGUCAACUGGCUGUUGGGCCUUCGGGCCUUGGUAGCGCAGCUAACGCGUGAAGUUGACCGCCUGGGAAUACGGUCACAGGUCAAACUCAAGAAUUGACGGGGACUACCUGGCAGGCGGAUGAUCAAGCCCGGGUCCAAAUUCGGAAGUGCAACGCGAAAAACCUUACCUGCCCUUGACAAUGUCUGGAAUCCCGAAGAGAUUUGGGAGUGCUCGCAAGAAGAACCGGAACACAGGUGCUGCAUGGCUGUCGUCAGCUCGUGUCAGUGAGAUGUUGAGUUAAGUCCCACGGCAAGCACGCAACCCUUCAUCAUUAGUUGCUACGAAAGGCACUCUAAUGAGACUGCACCAGUAACAAACCGGAGGAAGGUGGGGAUGACGCCAAGUCCCUCAUGGCCCUUAUCGAGUAGGAGCUUCACCCGUCAUACAAUGGUCGGGACAGAGGGUCGCCAACCCGCGAGAAGGCCAAUCCGAAACCCGAUCGUAGUCCGGAUCGCAGUCUGCAACUCGACUGCGUGAAGUCGGAAUCGCUAGUAAUCGCGGAUCAGCAUGUCGCGGUGAAUACGUUCCCGGGUCUUGUACACACCGCCGCAUCACACCAUGGGAGUGGGUUUUACCAGAAAUGAUUAACCUAGCAAAAUAGGGAGGCGAUUACCACGGUAGGAUUCAUGACUGGGGUAAGUCGUAACAGGUACAA
Molecule: ribosomal RNA, 1476 nt
Filed under: uncultured Bordetella sp.
Lineage: Bacteria; Pseudomonadati; Pseudomonadota; Betaproteobacteria; Burkholderiales; Alcaligenaceae
Description: partial 16S-23S ribosomal RNA intergenic spacer
Rfam family: Bacterial small subunit ribosomal RNA
Source: RNAcentral